This 195-nucleotide ribosomal RNA is filed under the name uncultured Lactobacillus sp. RNAcentral's name for it is "partial 16S ribosomal RNA". It matches the Rfam family "Bacterial small subunit ribosomal RNA", at positions 337 to 524 of the family's 1533-position model. The record is from RNAcentral. Lineage: Bacteria; Bacillati; Bacillota; Bacilli; Lactobacillales; Lactobacillaceae.
UCCUACGGGAGGCAGCAGUAGGGAAUCUUCCACAAUGGACGAAAGUCUGAUGGAGCAAUGCCGCGUGAGUGAAGAAGGUUUUCGGAUCGUAAAACUCUGUUGUUGAAGAAGAACAUAUGUGAGAGUAACUGUUCACGUACUGACGGUAUUCAACCAGAAAGCCACGGCUAACUACGUGCCAGCAGCCGCGGUAAU